AGAAUGGAAAUGAUUUAGAAGGCACAUUAUCUUGGUUCCCGGGCUGGGUUCGCGAUCUAGGUUGUUUCUCUUUGUCAUGUCUGAGAACAGAUGGUGGAAGGAGGGGGGUUGGUUUCAACGCGGCAUGUUUCUCUCCUUGUGGUCGUGGACAUUGGUGGUGGCACGACGUUCUCAACGUUCAGAGGGGGUGGAGGUUGUCGAGUUGUGCUACCCGGGCUGCAUGAUCCUUGAGUUCCAAUCGGCUGGUGGUUGGGCCUAGUCCUAUUUAGGCCCAGGUUCGAUGGGUAUUUUAUAGGUUUUUUUUUUCUUUUUGUUUUUGGUUGUUUAGGUUUUUGGUGGUUGUUUUGGUUGGUUAGGUGUCCCUCUUUUAGCGAGGAUUUAGGGUUUUGGUAUGUUGGUAUCGGGUUGUGGGGUGUGUCAUGGUUAUGUUGUUGUUUUCAACGAUUAUUUUAACUUCAAUUAGUUCUUAUUGUCAAUGUAACGGGAAAGUUACCUGUUUUAGCCACAUCAGUAAAUCUGAGUAUGCAAAGUCUCUUUCAGUAGUUGUGGGCGUGCCACCGUGCGGACACGGAAAGUAGAGGUUGUAGUAGCGGGGUGCGCUUAGCCUUCUGCUUUUAAUCAAGUGACUGAGGAUGGAGAGAGCACCAACUCCACCGCAAGGUUCUUCAGAUUCGUCUUGCGUAUUGGGCAAGGACUUACAGUAGUCCGCCUGAGCGUCACAAUAUCGAUACUUGACGUAGGAUCGAGCAGAGCGUCAACUGGGAAGGAAGAAAAAAAAGACAAUGCUCCGGGGAGCGUACAGAGAAACGAAAGCAAAGCUCCGGGGAGCGUCUGGAAGUUCAAUUGUGUUGAGAGUUGUAUUGUAUUCACUACGUCUUUUUUGGCUUCAGACGACUUGGAUCAGACGACAGAAGACGUAUUUGCUGUCGUCUGAUACAUUUAGACGACACACAUUUAAAUAUAUGUCGUCUGAAUGUAGCAACUCACAGACAGCUUAAAUUAGCGUGUUCAUGAGAUGACAGACGUCUGUCGUCUUAAAACAACCCAAAAUUUGCAAUAUAAUGGUUUGAUCUAAGACGACACUCUUUUGUCGUCUUUAUAUUGACGUAAAUAUCUAAUAUUUUUUUGGUACAACGAAUGUCUUUUUUUGGACACUUUAUAGACCUAUCUUCCCGAUAAUUUGUUUGAAGUUCUCAAUUGAGUGAUUUUUCUCACAACUGAAACCUCUCUUCCUCUCUUCCUCACAAACCAAAUUCUCUCAUAUAUCUCAUUCUCAAACUGAUCGAAUCCUCUCUUCUAUAUCUAACCCUCAAACCAAUUCCUCUUAUCUUCGGAGACCCAUAUCUGAAAACCCCCAAUUUCAACCUCCCAAACCCUAAAAGCUCCAAACCCUCGCAAACCAUGUCCGCCGCCUAAACCACCACCCAGAAGAAGCGCGCAGCCGAGCCCGAGCUCAUCAAGUCGGCCAACCUCGAUCUCAACCUCUCCAUGUUCUUUUCCUCUAAUUCCUUCAUAUCUCUUGCUUUCGCUUACGGAAUCGGCUUUUGAUGUGUUCGAUUUGAAUUUUUUUGCAGUGAUAUCAAAGGAAUCAUGUCAGCGCUGCAACAGAUCCGAUAUAAGGCGCACAUGGACGACUUGAAGAUGAACGAAGAGGCCAUUUCCAAGUGAAAAUUCAAAACGUUUAGCUCUUGAUUUCACUAAAUCAGCUCAGAAAUUCAAAACUCUAUCUAUUUUUUGGAUUAUUUUUUGCUAAUAUAGUAUCAAAUUAGAAUUUGUGUUCACUUUUUCCCCUAGUUUUGAAGUUUCGUACUCAAAUUACAGAUUUCUUGUUUUUGUUUUUUUCCUUUCCCUGUGUUUAGAUUUUGAUUGAGUUGAUGAUGUUGAGUAACAUGAGUUCGUAAUUAUAGCUAGACAAUGAUCAUAUAAUGGGAUUGUUCAAUCUGAUAAAAAUAAUUUCAAAAGGCAUAAGUGCAUAACCUUCACCAUGAAAAUUUGAUGAUGUAGUUUCUAUUGUGGUCAAAUAACAUGUGUUUGGAGACCAUCCAACUCUAACAUACUAUAUCUCUCUAUCUAUCUCUCUAAAAUAUCUCUCUCUGGCUUCUAUAUAUAAAUGUUGGAGGAACAGCAAAUGAAGCUCUGAGGCAAAGGAAGAGAAUUGCUUGGCGUCUGUAACCAAUGAAUGUCAACAAAAAUUAUGUCUCUCUUCCAUCACUUUCUGCCAAUCCCCCUUUAGCCAUUUCAUUUUCUUUGUUUCUCUACCUUUAUUUAGCAGUCUCUUAGUUUCUUGUCUUAAUGCAGAUUCCAUCUCUGGUUUCAUGGUUGUCUCCAAUCAAGGUAAAAUCUAACACAGUCACUUUUCAAUUUUUUCUCUCUAUUUUCGCCUGUGGAUAUAAAAAACUCUUUCUUGCUUUCUCAGUUUGUUGUUUGAAUAUUAAAAUGAGAGUACUGUAAUGUAAUACAAAAUUGCAAAUUGAUUUGUUUAUUGAAGAAUUUUUGCUUUGUAUGUUUUCUUGUACUCUCUGUUAUUAGUUUCUACAUAUAUAUAUAUAUAUAUAUACACACACAUAUUGAGGUAUAUAUAAUGACUUGUAGUGAGGAACCAUGUUAAGAUUCUUGUAGAAAAAAUAGGAGAUAAUGUGUCCCUCUUUUAAUUGUAUAUAGGAUCUCAUUUCGUGCUUAUAAUGUGUGUGCAUGCUGGUGCCUUUUUGCUCAGCUGCAUUUUUAUGUGCAUUGUUAGUGUACUCGUAUAUCUUUACUUACUAUGUUAUUAAUAUGUUAUUAAUAGACUUGAGAAACUCCCCUAAAUUUCUGGAGAUGAUGAUAGUUUAUUUUAUUUUUGGUUUACAGGGUGCUGGUAAAUCAGCUGUUUUGAAAGCUUAAUCAGACUCCUUUUUAGGUAAGUACAAUUUACCAAUGUAUUUCAAUAUCCAAAUUAUAGCGGUUUUUAAUUUUAUUUUAUGGUUUCUUCCUCCAGCCAACUAGUGAGAAUGAUGCUACUCGAGCUCCAAUCAGCAUUGAUUUACAUAGGGGCAGCUCAUUGAGCAGCAAAUCAAUGAUAUUGCAGAUUGACAAUUAAUCCCAUCAAGUUUCUGCAAGUAAGUCACUUAAUGUAUGUUCUCAAUUUAAUUUAAUCAUGUUAUAGUGCUGUUUUUGUUUAGAAUCUUCUUAGAAUUUCAAGUCAAUACUACUGUGUUUUCACAUAUAGGGUUGUUUUGAUUUAGCUAUCAUUUAAACUCACUUCACAUCGUUCUUAAUGGAGUUUGUUUAUAGAUUAUUUCCAUGUCGAGCUGAAUCUUAAUUUAUUGUUUUGUAAAUACCAUCUUACAUUGCAAGUAUGUAAGAAUUAUAGCUGAAUUCCACUUUUCAUGAUUUAUAGUUUAUAUAAGGAUUUCAGGUGGUCCUAGUGAUAAGACUUGCAAUGCUUGAGAGGAGAACGCAGAUACUUUACAGAUACGUUGCAGGUGAUUACUUAGUAUUUUUUUAAAAGUAAACUAUUAAGCAUGAUUCUACCAUGCAGGUAAUGGACUCCAUGUACAUAUAUUGCACAUAUACCCAAAGGAUAAUGAUCAAACCCAAACCAAGGAUAAUGACCUCCUUUUUUGCAAGCAACCAAGGAAAAAAAAUCGAUAUUUUUGGCGAAAUAUCGCAGAAAAUUUCGUUUUUUCACACAGCGAAAUAUAUUUCUCACCCCAAAAUUUUUGGUCCGAAACUAUUGAUAUUUCGCGAUAUAUCGCUAUAUUUUCGAUAUCUGGCUGAAACUGUUGAAAUCACCCAAAAAAAUUUCCCAAAAGAGGCGACACCGCCGUCUGCUCCGCCGGCAGCCCAACUCCGGCCACCUCCAAUGCUCACUAAAAUUUGACACAAUCUUCCUCUCAACACGCACAACAACUUCCCUAACUAACACAAACACCAAUUCCAAGCCUAGAUAGGGUAAUCGAAUCAAAACAUUGAGCCCUAAAACUUCAACUCACCGAUUCUCCCUACUUAGAUCAAGAGGGAAUGAAACCUUUUAAGGUUUUGUUGUACUGGAGGAGAGCUUCCACACGAGACCAGCCGCGCCGUUUAUGGUGGCCGGAAAAGGCAGUUCCGACGACGACUCGGCCACUGUGCAGCCGCACCUUCUCGGUGCGAUUCAUCCCUCACGGCGACGCAACCCAACCAAUCACCUACCUAGACGUGAAGAGGAUGCUCCAAGCUUCAUUUCGACACCUAGCUCGCCCCCUAUCUCGGCCGGACGGAAGCGGACGGCGGUGAAGAAAAUCCGGCAGGGAGAGAGAGAGACUCGGGGAAGGAAGAAGAAGAGAGAGAGAGAAAAGAGAGUUUGGGCCUUCUCUCUCAAUUUUCCCAACCCAACUCCAAAAAUACCCAACACCAACAACAAUUCACCUUUUCACUAUCCAAAAAUACCCAACACCAACAGCACUAACCUUUUCACCUUUACUUACUACAACUCCCUAUAGAUCAAUGUUUAUUCAAGGUUUUCAUUUCAAAUAUAGUACAUAAUAUAGAAAACAAACAUCUCUUAAAGUUUGGUUUAAAAUUUCCUUGUUUUUCUUCAAAUUUCCGUCAAUUUUCUCAUUUUUUUACUGCAAUCGAUAUUUCCCCGAAAUUUUCAUAUUUUGGAGGGUCGAAAUUUCCGUAAUCACUGAAAUUUUCUUCCUUGCAUGCAACCAUAGUAAGCUCUUUGCACGCAAGUACUGCUAGCUUUUCGCAUGCAUACCUACUACGCAAGUCCUCCACCAAGCAAUUAAACACAGUUGACCAGUCAAUUUGGAUAACUUACGUUUCUUAUCCUUACGCGCGAAGUCCUUCUGUGCGAACUCAUACGCGAGCUCACCUCUUCGCAUGCAUCCAGUUCGCCAACAAUCCAUGUCUCAAUCUCCCACUCAUGCGAAGUCUCAUUGCAUGCGAACUUUGUCCAGCUCGCCCGCUAACUUCUGUCCAUAUAUGAGAAGGCCUGCAUGCGAACCACAUAUCUAGCUUGCAUGAAAUCAUAAGCGAGGUAACCCGCCUCUAAUCCCAACAUUAUUCGGGCUCGCCGAUGUGACAUGGACCAUGAAUUUAACCAAUAUUCACAUAGACAAUUACUGCCCAGUAAUAUUAAUUCUAGGUGUAAACAUUGCCCCCCAGCCUCGAAGUCAUGCUGCUCCAAAGCCACUGGUAUUGGCUCAGGUCAUACACAAAAAUGAGUGUGAGUAAACAAGCCACAGAAUAGGCCUUGAAACUCAAGUACCCAGCAACAAAGCACUGUAGCGAAGCUGCUGAAAUGAUUCAACUAAUACCAUAUUAAGCUGAUAAUCAUGAACUUAACAUAGCUAGGUACCUUGGACUUGAACUCAACAUGCGUUUCGCUUGCACUUCGCUUUCUCUACUCAGAAUACAUGGUACAUUGCACAUACCUCGAGUAGAUGUAUCUCUAAUGAAUGUAUCUUUAACUGAUGUACCUCGAGUGGAUAUAUUCGAAAAGGAAUCAUCUGACCUCGAAGGGAUGUAUCUCGCGAAGGGAUGUACCUUGAGUAGACGUUUGCUUUAACUGGAUUCAAAAUUGCCCUUCGCCUGAGCGCUUGACGAUGGCGAACCAUCUUUUUGACAUUGGCCAUGUACUUCGCUGCCCCCCAGUGCGAACCAAUAAGAGUCAAACAAAAAGACCAUGUCGGCGAACGGCCGCAUAAUCUUGAUUUUUUUUUUUGUAGAGGCCAUAGGCGUUGGCCUAAAUAAUGACCAAGACAUCUCAAGAAGGGUCUAAAGCCAGAAAUUUUUGACAUUGGCAUGUACUUCGCUGCCCCCCAAUGCGAACCAAUGAGAGUUAAACAAAAGGAUCAUGUCGGCGAACGGCCGCAUAAUCUUGAAAUUUUUUUUUGUUAGAGGCCACAUGUGUUGGCCUAAAUAAUGACCAAGCCAUCUCAAGAAUGGUCUAAAGUCUAAAAUAUUUGGAACACAUCUCUAUCCCAUAUGUGCCCCCUAGUUUUGAUGUCUGUUCGGUGAUACUUGAGAAUAAUGAAGGACAUCAAAACUUUAGUAUGUCCCCUAGUGAAGGAGUUGUAGUACCGUACAUCAUCAAAGUUAGCAAACAUUGAAAAAAUUUGUGGAUCGACCUUGAGUAGAUCCCGGUGUAUGAAUAAAGGUAUACAAAACUUAUAUGCCCCCAAUAAAGGAAAGCAUGCUGCAAGGUCAUGAAAACACAUUGCAAAUUCGCGCAUAUCCUGACCUGUCUGCAUUCAAACUGCCAUAACUCUCUCCAGGAAUGUCGGAAUGACGAACCGUAAAAUCCUAUAGAAACUAGACAUCCAGGGCUUUCUGUUGAUAUAAGGCUCGCCUGCUAGUUCUUCCUGGAUCAUUCCAGUUUAAUCUGCGAAGUUGACUGUCCAGUAGUGGCUGCUGCAACUUUCAGCAUUGCAAACAUUUCUUCAAUUCUCCUCUGACAUUGACUUCGCUGGCAGUAACUCCAAGGCAUGUGGAAUGCCUGUUGGCUUUAAGCCUUUGGGAUAGGCCCCUAAGUAAAGUUUAAGCCUUUUGUAGGCAAAAACGUUGUCUUGCAUUUCAGCAAAACUAAGGAUCUCUUUUUGUAUUUUCUGCUAUUUGAUUUUUUUUGUAUUUUCUUUUUUCAAUGCAAGAAAGAAAGAAAAAUGAAAGCAAACUGAAGUAAAGCUAAGAGUAAAGGAAAGAAGAGAGUACAACAUGGUUAGUUACCCUUCGUAAGGCUACGGGGGAGGCCACCAAUGCUUCACUCCAAGUCUCGACGAUGUUAUGUUUCUGGCAUGAGACUCUUGUUGUUGAGAAUUUCUAAAUGUUGAGCAGAGCUGUUUCGCGUCAAGAACUUGAAAAUUUGGGCAAGGUAGUUCGUAAAGUACAUCUCGUUGCCCCCCACAUAUCCUUGUCUUUUGACCAAACAGGAUCUUCGAUUGCAUUCUCGCGUACCAUAUGCUGUCGAGAUCAGCCUUGUUGCCAACUAUCAUGUCAUAAUACAUGGUCUUAUCAGGUAUAGCCACGCAUUGGUUAUGGAAGAGGACCAUAUUAGGAGCUUCACUGGUCCUAAACUCUUGCGGAGUAUGAUUAUCUGACAGACGGACCAACAUAUAGUCUACAUCAUAUUCAUCAUAAAUUGGCUCUGUGUCAAAAUCAAAUUCGGAGUCAUCACAACCCAACAAAUCCACCUUUGCCUCUGAUGCAGUCAUAUGAAAUCCAUGAGCAUCAUGUGUAGAUGCCGCCAAGUCCCUACUGCAGACUAGAGUGAGAUAGCACUGAGAAUACUCGACUUUACACCCAUGUAUAAUAAACUUGCAAUUCUAGGUGUAAAAACGUUUCCCACAUACAAUACUAAAGCCAUAAUUUGGCCUUUGAACUUGCAUGCAAAGACUCCAAAUAUAUUGGAAUGUGAAGCCACAGAUUGGCCUAGGUAUACCACCAUACCAUAUAUAAUUAAGCUUGUCAUGACUUGGGGCAGCUUCCUGAUAACGUCCAGUAAUUGGACAAAACUUGAGUUGAUCAUGCCCCUGAUCAUGGUGGUUAAUUAAAGAAUGAAGGCGAGCUACGCUUUGCCCCCCAUGCAUCUGACCUGUGUCCACAUAUACAUCUCGCAUAGGAAAGUUGGCUCCUUGGUCACCUUUCAUGUGAAAUUGUGGUUCGCCAUCAUCAGUGUUCGAACUAAUUUCUUCUUCUAAGAUGGAUUGUUCUGUCCUAUCUUCAAGCUCCUUUGUUUGAGGAACACCGUCAGUUUUUGAGAUAGGACUAUCAUCCAAAAUCUCGCCAGCCUCGACCUCAGGUUCUUCAUCAUUGAUUGACAAAAUAAUUUCUUCUUUGGACGUAGGUUCGUCCAAAGGAAAACCUUUGCCAUUAGAAUAGCUGCUAGGCAGUUCAAUCUUUUUGGCAAGGACAUGCUCGUCAACUGUAGGCCUUACAUUUUGGCAUUGUAAAGUCUUUUCGUUUUUUUCAGCAGCCUCAAGCUCACAAUGUCGCUUGAGGAUGGCAUCCCAUUUCUCUUUAUAAGCAACCCAUUCCUCUUUUUAACCGUGCCAAUCCAUUAUCGCCUCUUUGUUUCCGAUCUCCGAUCCCAAUGAAGGUAACGUCAGAGACUACCCUGGUCCCACUGGGCGUGCCAAUGUUUUGGCCACACUAGUAAGUCUGGGUAUGCAAAGUCUCUUUUAGUAGUUGCUGGCGUGACACCGCGUGGACGCCGAAAGUAGAGGUUGUAGUAGCGGGGUGCGCUUAGCCUUCUAGUUCUAAUCAAGCGACUAAGGAUGGAGAGAGCACCAACUCCACCGCAGGGUUCUUCAGAUUCGCCUUGCGUACUGGGCAAGGACUUUACAGUAGUUCGCUUGAGCAUCACAAUAUUGAUACUCAACGUAGGAUCGAGCAGAGCUUCAACUAGGAAGGAAGAAAAAAAAGACAAUGCUCCGGGGAGCGUAUAGAGAAACGAAAGUAAAGCUUCGGGGAGUGUCUGGAGGUUCAACUGUGUUGAGAGUUGUAUUGUAUUUUUGUUGAGUUGUUGAGUGUGUCUGUAGAAUAUCCUCGAACUCCUUUAUAUAGAGUUAUUUAGGGCCACAAGUAUUGGCCCAAAACAUGUCAAUGACUUGUAGAAGUCUUCAAUGUUAAUAUCGUAGGCAAUGAUACUAACCGCCUCUUGAUACGAUAAUAGAGAUGUACUGGACGUAAACGAUUCUUAGGCAGUUAUGUUUCCUAGCGAAUGAUAUUCCAUAGAGAUAAGCAUCCAUGUUAAUCCAUUAAGAAGUAGACUUUGUAAUUAGUCCAACUCCUCAGACUUCGCCAUGCACGUAUUGAUGAUCAAACCCAAACCAAGGAUAAUGACCUCCUUUUUCGCAUGCAACCAUAGUAAGCUCUUCGCACGCAAAUACUGCUAGCUUUUCGCAUGCAUACCUACUUCGCAAGUCCUCCACCAAGCAAUUAAACACAGUUAACUAGUCAAAUUGGAUAACUUACGUUUCUUAUCCUUACGCGCGAAGUCCUUCUGUGCGAACUCAUGCGCGAGCUCACCUCUUCGCAUGCAUCUAUUUCGCCAACAAUCCAUGUCUCAAUCUUCCACUCAUGUGAAGUCUCAUUGCAUGCGAACUUUGUCCAGCUCGCCCGCCAACUUCUGUCCAUAUAUGAGAAGGCAUGCAUGCAAACCACAUAUCUAGCUUGCAUGAAAUCAUAGGCGAGGUAACCCGCCUCUAAUCCCAACAUUAUUCGGGCUCGCCGGUGUGACAUGGACCAUAUAUGAGAAGGCCUGCAUGCGAACCACAUAUCUAGCUUGCAUGAAAUCAUAGGCGAGGUAACCCGUCUCUAAUCCCAACAUUAUUCGGGCUCGCCGGUGUGACAUGGACCAUGAAUUUAACUAAUAUUCACAUAGACAAUUACUGCCCAAUAAAAUAUUAAUUCUAGGUGUAAACAUUACCUAUGCAUACAUGCUAGUAGUUUUGGCAUAUAAUGUUUGAAGAGGUUGUUUCUUCUUAAGGUUGAUUGUAAGGAUGUAUCGAGACUUUUGGAUUAUGUUAGGUUAUGGUUGAACCCCUAUCGGUUCUUGUCCACUGUAAUCGUUAGUGUUUUGGGUAGGUAGGAAGGAGAGUGGGGAAUUUAUUUCUACCACCGACAUCACUCAUGGUUGUAAUAUAUUGUAUUCCCAUUUAAUGAAAUUCUUGAUAUUUUGCCUAAAAAAAAAACAGGGGGAGAGUUACAAAUUUUUUUUUUUUUUUCAUGUAACAAAAAUUCGAAAAUUAUAUAUCCAAGACUAACAGAGAAAACCAUUAAUUUGAUGUUCAAUCUAAUUCUAAUUUUGAUCAUGCCUAGCUAGGGA
RNAcentral lists this long non-coding RNA (9790 nucleotides) under Fragaria vesca (wild strawberry). Its description in RNAcentral is "long non-coding RNA (FVES_LNC001340)". The record is from RNAcentral. Lineage: Eukaryota; Viridiplantae; Streptophyta; Magnoliopsida; Rosales; Rosaceae.